AAAAUUUUAAAAAUGAACAUAUAUUAACCAAUUGGCAAAAAAUGUGUGGGUUCAACGUCCCGCAUCGACAAAAAUAUUUAGACAAUGAUUUAUAAACAUAUCAUAAAUAAGAUCAAUAUUAAUAUAAAUAAAAGUUUUUUUUACGGGACGGGUUUGACGGGACGGGUUUGGCAGGACGUUACUUAAUAACAAUUGUAAACUAUAAAAUAAAAAUAUAUUAUAGAUAUAUACAAUUUGCAAAAAAG
RNAcentral lists this small RNA (245 nucleotides) under Arabidopsis thaliana (thale cress). Its description in RNAcentral is "ATSL282590". The record is from RNAcentral. Lineage: Eukaryota; Viridiplantae; Streptophyta; Magnoliopsida; Brassicales; Brassicaceae.